UGCGGAAGGAUCAUUGUUGAU
RNAcentral lists this ribosomal RNA (21 nucleotides) under Piper gibbosum. RNAcentral describes it as "partial 18S ribosomal RNA". The record is from RNAcentral. Lineage: Eukaryota; Viridiplantae; Streptophyta; Magnoliopsida; Piperales; Piperaceae.